AUGGUUGAGCAUAUCCAAAACUAUGAUGUGCUGGAGAAGUGUACAAAAGAUAUACUCUCCAUAAUCAAGCCAACAGAGGACGAUCAGAACAAACGACUGAACGCAAUUCAGGAGAUUGUGGAUUCCAUCUAUUUAGUUGGUCGCUUGGGAGAUGCUGCUGUCAAACCUUUUGGAUCCUUUUUAUCAAAACUUUACGCAAAAUCAGGUGAUUUGGAUGUAUCAGUUGAGCUACCAAAUGUCUCAGGCUUCCCUACAAGCAAGGAAAAGAAGCAAAGUCUCUUGGGAGAACUACAUACGGAUGUAUAUAGACCUGUUUUAGAGUGUCAGUUUAUUUUGCUCCGUAUGUAUUCUAUAUUGGAAUCUCUAAAAGGAAUUAUAUUUAGGAACAGAGGGAGUACUAUGUAG
RNAcentral lists this ribosomal RNA (405 nucleotides) under Triticum aestivum (bread wheat). Its description in RNAcentral is "partial small subunit ribosomal RNA". Lineage: Eukaryota; Viridiplantae; Streptophyta; Magnoliopsida; Poales; Poaceae. The record is from RNAcentral.